Non-coding RNA from Oryza glumipatula, 184 nucleotides. NCBI's taxonomy places the organism in Eukaryota, Viridiplantae, Streptophyta, Magnoliopsida, Poales, Poaceae. The record is from Rfam.
AAUUACUCCCUGCGUCCCAUUUUAAGUGCACGUUUGAACGUCCGUCUUAUUUCAAAGUUUCUGUGAUUAAUACUUUUAUUUUUAUUAGAUGAUAAAACAUGAAUAAUACUUUAAGCAUGGCCUUUUUAUUUUUUUAUAAAUUUUUUAAAUAAGAUAUACGGUCAAAUGUUGAACUGUACUUAAU